GUUAAAUUUGUUUGAAUUAGCUCAAGAGCUUAGAGGACCACAGUUGGAUAAGGGAAAGGAAAAAGUGAUCGAAUAGCCGUUGAAGCCGUUCGACAACAUCCGAGAUUUUGGUUCUUCAGCUAUCGGAUUCGGGAUUUUGAAGUCGAAGUCGCCCACACUAUCAAAGCUCCUUUCGGUAUAUUUUUGGUUGGACUUUGAAAUGGCAUGUAUAGGACUACCCUUUUGUUAUAGGUCAUGUACCUUUCGGUUUUGUGUAAAUUUGGAUAGCCAUGCGAAAAUGGCUUAAGUAUACUUUGGGCAUGGUAUUAUAAUCAUUGUAUGUUGUUCAUUAAGAGGUAUGGAAAUGUUUGGAAACGAUUAGCCAUUGGGAUGGUUAAUCAUGAUCA
Long non-coding RNA from Gossypium arboreum, 386 nucleotides. RefSeq lists it as uncharacterized. NCBI's taxonomy places the organism in Eukaryota, Viridiplantae, Streptophyta, Magnoliopsida, Malvales, Malvaceae. The transcript is spliced from 2 exons. The record is from RefSeq and is a predicted model, not a curated record.